CCGAGGUUACAACUCCCAAACCCCUGUGAACAUACCACUUGUUGCCUCGGCGGAUCAGCCCGCUCCCGGUAUAAACGGGACGGCCCGCCAGAGGACCCCUAAACUCUGUUUCUAUAUGUAACUUCUGAGUAAAACCAUAAAUAAAUCA
This 148-nucleotide unclassified non-coding RNA is filed under the name soil metagenome. Its description in RNAcentral is "partial internal transcribed spacer 1". The record is from RNAcentral.